RNAcentral lists this long non-coding RNA (636 nucleotides) under Mytilus galloprovincialis (Mediterranean mussel). Lineage: Eukaryota; Metazoa; Mollusca; Bivalvia; Mytilida; Mytilidae. The record is from RNAcentral.
CACAUUUUGAAUUUGUUAGAUGUAUUUUUGUUCAUAUAUAUACAAGUGAAUUCUAUAAAUUUAUGAUACUUUUUAAUGAGUGUUCAAGUUUGAAUUUUAGAUAAUAUACACAGUUUGUUUUUAAAACAUAAACAGAUUUGACCUCAAGCAGAAUUGUAUAGUGCUGUUUUAUCAAUGGUGUAAAGUGAAGGCACAAAUACCAUUACAAAGAAAGUCUGUUUUUGAAUAUAACCACAUUUUGUUUGCUUAUUAUUUUAAAAUUAUAAUAUAAACAGCUAUUAUUUUGUAUUGAUUUAAGAUCAAAUUGAUCAAAUUGAUAUUAGGCAUUGAUGUUAAAACCUAGAUUAAACACAUGCAUGUAAUCAAUGUCGGGAUACAAAUUAUGCAAAAUACUCAUUUGUUUACCAAAAUCUCAGCAAUUUUGGUUAAAUGGUUUACACAAACAAAAAACCAGUUUCGUCAACAUUGAUGAGGCCCUUAAAAUAGAAUUUUUAACUAUAAAUGGCUGAAAGAUUGUCAAUAUUAUUUUAGACUUCAUUCUUGGUUCUGUACAUAAAGUGUUAUAAAUGUUAAAAUAGAUAUAUUGAAGUAUAAAACUCUCAUACAAAAAAGACUUUAUGAAAGCAUCAUUUACAG